GCGCGCUUUUACUACUUUUAAGGAGGGUUGGAGUUUCACGCACUGAGCGAUCGCGUGUUCUUACGUAAGGUCCCUGCGGAGUUAAAGGCGCUCACGGUCCAUGUUUCUGGUCCUUUAAUAGCUGAGAUAGAGCCACGCCCAGACAACUGUUGGGAAAUGCGAAACCUGAAGUCCAUGUUACCCGAUCCAUGCAUUUCAAAAUUGUUGUGUGGACUGAUUUUUGUCAACCAAAAUGCGCGAGAAUGAAUUCUGCAGGAUUAAGGUGUGUAUAACAUGAAUUGUGACUCACGCACGCAUUUAUUUAUUUAUUUAUUUAUUUAUUUGGUACUGGAGAUUGAACGCGGGGGCACUCGGCAACUAAGCCACAUCCCCAGCCCCAUUUUGUAUUUUAUUUAGAGACAGGGUCUCACUGAGUUGCUUAGCCCCUCGCUUUUGCUGAGGCUCCUGCCCCAGCCUCCAGAGCCACUGAGAUUACAGGUGUGCACCACCGGCGCGCGGCUGAUACACUCAUUUAUUUUUAAACAAUAUUAUGGAGGUGUAUUUUCGGUAUCAGUUAUUUUAAACGAUACUAUUGUUGCGGUUUGCCACGUAUACAUACAUGAAGCCGUUCCAACAAUCCACAUAAACAUCCAUCACCCUCAAAAGCUUGUUCCCAUCCUCUCCGGAGGUUGAAGCAGGAUCGCCAG
RNAcentral lists this long non-coding RNA (686 nucleotides) under Marmota monax (woodchuck). Lineage: Eukaryota; Metazoa; Chordata; Mammalia; Rodentia; Sciuridae. The record is from RNAcentral.